AGUGCGAGCCAGGGCUUUAAUCGGGCCAGGGCGGGCCAAUAGCCCGGGAGGUUGAGAAAUGAGGCCGAAAUCAUGUCGCAUUUUGGCUGCAAGGCGCAAAAGAGCAGCCGAGCGACGAGAACGACGUAUGCAACGACAACUGCAACGGCAACAGAGGAUGAACAUGUAGAACAAGUGACUGGUGGGAGAACACCGCUCAAAAGUACACAGAUGACCAGUGGCUGGAGGACUUCAGAGUCUCUAGAGAAACAUUCAGAUACAUUUGUUCAACGCUUAAGCCCUCACUACAGCGACUAGACACGUCAUUCAGAUUGUGCAUUCCUCUGGCAAAACGUGUAGCCAUUGCACUCUAUAAACUCGCAUCAACAACUGAGUAUAGAACAGUAGCUAACCUGUUUGCUGUCAGUCGGACCUCUGUGUGUCGCUGUGUGCAUGACUUUUGUAAGGCUGUGAUUGCUGUGCUUCGACCCAAGCUCAUAAACACCCCUGACCAAGCAAAAAUGGCAGAGAUUGCUGAUUAUUUUGAGGACAAAUUUGGUAUUCCACAAUGUGUUGGUGCUAUUGACGGUUCACACAUUCCCAUACUGAAACCUCCACAGUACCAGUCAGAUUUUCACAAUAGAAAAGGCUGGCAUUCCAUAAUUUUACAAGCAGUUGUGGAUGGUAAAGGCCUUUUUUGGGACCUUAAUGUAGGACAGCCUGGUAGAAAACAUGAUGCCAGCGUCUUGAAAA
This 732-nucleotide long non-coding RNA is filed under the name Danio rerio (zebrafish). Its description in RNAcentral is "lncRNA si:dkey-159n16.3 (ENSDARG00000097713.3)". The record is from RNAcentral. Lineage: Eukaryota; Metazoa; Chordata; Actinopteri; Cypriniformes; Danionidae.